AUUAAACGCUGGCGGCAUGCCUUACACAUGCAAGUCGAACGGCAGCACGGGGUGGUAACACUCUGGUGGCGAGUGGCGGACGGGUGAGUAAAGCAUCGGAACGUGCCCUGGAAUGGGGGAUAACGUAGCGAAAGUUACGCUAAUACCGCAUAUUCUGUGAGCAGGAAAGCAGGGGAUCGCAAGACCUUGCGUUCGAGGAGCGGCCGAUGUCGGAUUAGCUAGUUGGUGGGGUAAAGGCCUACCAAGGCGACGAUCCGUAGCGGGUCUGAGAGGAUGAUCCGCCACACUGGGACUGAGACACAGCCCAGACUCCUACGGAGGCAGCAGUGGGGAAUUUUGGACAAUGGGCGCAAGCCUGAUCCAGCCAUGCCGCGUGAGUGAAGAA
RNAcentral lists this ribosomal RNA (385 nucleotides) under uncultured bacterium. RNAcentral's name for it is "bacterial SSU rRNA". It matches the Rfam family "Bacterial small subunit ribosomal RNA", at positions 29 to 412 of the family's 1533-position model. The record is from RNAcentral.